CUUAAUGAAACUUCAGUGCGUGAACAAUUCUCGUAAUGUCUUUGCGACAAAUCAGUGAGUGGAUGUCAUGUCCUAAGAUAUUUAUAACACUAAAGGUAGUGGUAAGUGAUACCAUUUGGCAGCCUUGGUUUAGAUGUGCUGAAGAUUUUUUCCUUUUGGUUUGCUAAGAAUGGAGUUCCAAGAAGCCACAAAACCCCAGUUUCCUUGGUCUAAAUGUAUCCCUUUCCUAUAGCAGGUCAUUCUUGUUAAUAAUGCCUGCAAGAAUGACAAACAACAGACAAUCACAGGCAUAGAGGAGGUCACAACUGCUUUUAGCUAGCCCAACUUUGUAAACUCCAUAUGAGAUAUGCUAAACCCUGCACGAUCCAUGGUUGUUUGAUUUUGAAUCUCACAUUACAAGAAUUCACAGACACGCUAACCUGCGUUAUAGAAUAACCCAAUUCGGCCUUUCUUUCCUAUCUGUACAUAGAUACUUUUUUUUUUACACAGUGACAGUCACUGCCUCUUAAACCAUUUUCUUUUGUUGCAUUUCCUUAGAAACACAAAUCUUGUUCCUUGGCAGCAGUUGCUGUAAGUGCUGUACCACAUGCCCAAACUAGUUCUCACUCACAGCUUUAAUUCACAGUAAGUGGCACGAAAGGAGGUCAACACUUCUCAGAAACCACUUUCAGUUCUUUGCUGCUUCAGUGUCUGUUCUAUAAAGCCCUAACAGAAUGAAAGUUGUUUCUCAUAUUGUGUCCCUUGCUUUUUUAUUAUUUCCAUCUUUAUGGAAUGGGCUGCAGAAUAUACGAUGGAAUAAAAGAUUAUUCCUGGAAUCACAUUCCUGGUCUCCCUUUCGCAAGAUCCUAAAAAUAUAACAUGACCUAAAAAAGGAUUUGCAAAGCAGCUUGGAGAGGGGAGAGAGCUCAUGUGUUUAUUGUUUUUUUGCUUAUUUUCUGCAGUUCUUUCAGAGAGCUUCUCAAGAUUUUCAAAGAUCUGUGAAUCUUGCAAGGUUCAUAUUUUCCAAGUACAGUGAGUCUAGAUUCAGUUUCUUUUGUGUCUUAGUAUAUUGCUUACACAUAUUACAAACUAUCUGAAUGCCACAGUGCUUUAAACGGGGCUGCAAAUACCCUCUGGAUCACCACCAGCAAAAAGCUGCUCCUCCUAAAAGGAAGUAAAAGCCAGUGUGACUUUUUAAUCUACUAUUUGCUAUUUCGUAGAACUGCAGGAAAACUGCCUUAAGGGCUGAGCGCUGCUCCUUCGGUGGCGAAGGAGAAGACGCGGGGUCUGAGCGCCACACUGGCGUCAUGCUCCGAGGCAGCGUUCGGGAGGGACAAGCCUGACAGAAGUGCUGAUUCACUGCAGCGACCAAGAGGUUGCUUAGUAGCUAAGCUGGGGGGAGAGAGACAGCACAGGGAGGGGGCAUCUGGAUCGGUGCAAAUAAACAGGAGGGAAUGCCAAAGUUAU
This is a long non-coding RNA of Pezoporus occidentalis (night parrot), 1446 nucleotides long. RefSeq lists it as uncharacterized. The record is from RefSeq and is a predicted model, not a curated record. The transcript has 2 exons. Lineage: Eukaryota; Metazoa; Chordata; Aves; Psittaciformes; Psittacidae.